GACGAACGCUGGCGGCGUGCUUAACACAUGCAAGUCGAGCGAUGAAGCUUCUUCGGGAGUGGAUUAGCGGCGGACGGGUGAGUAACACGUGGGCAACCUGCCUUAUAGAGAGGAAUAGCCAUUCGAAAGGAUGAUGAAUACCUCAUAAUAUUGUAGCUUCGCAUGGAGCAACAAUCAAAGGAGCAAUCCACUAUAAGAUGGGCCCGCGGGGCAUUAGCUAGUUGGUGAGGUAACGGCCCACCAAGGCGAAGAUGCGUAGCCGACCUGAGAGGGUGAUCGGCCACAUUGGGACUGAGACACGGCCCAGACUCCUACGGGAGGCAGCAGUGGGGAAUAUUGCACAAUGGGGGAAACCCUGAUGCAGCAACGCCGCGUGAGUGAUGACGGCCUUCGGGUUGUAAAGCUCUGUCUUCAGGGACGAUAAUGACGGUACCUGAGGAGGAAGCCACGGCUAACUACGUGCCAGCCACCGCGGUAA
This 478-nucleotide ribosomal RNA is filed under the name uncultured bacterium. RNAcentral's name for it is "partial 16S ribosomal RNA". It matches the Rfam family "Bacterial small subunit ribosomal RNA", at positions 28 to 523 of the family's 1533-position model. The record is from RNAcentral.